Molecule: long non-coding RNA, 765 nt
Filed under: Homo sapiens (human)
Lineage: Eukaryota; Metazoa; Chordata; Mammalia; Primates; Hominidae
Description: HSALNT0109095
Source: RNAcentral
UGUGACUGUAUUUGGAGAUAGCAUAUUUAAAGAGGUAAUUAAGUUAGAAUGAGGUUAUUAGGGUAGGCCCUAAUCUGACUGAUGUCCUUCUAAGAAGAGGAAAUUAGGACACAGAGACAGACACGUGGAAGAAAUGUCAUGUGAAGACAGUGAGAAGACAGCUGUCUAUAAACCAAGAAGAGAGGCUUCAGAAGAAACCCGCCCUGUGAACACUUUAAUCUCAGACUCCUAUUCUUCAGAACUUUGGUUUUUGAGUCUCCAGCUUCACCUCUCAACUCCUGCCACUUUAUGGAACACCCUCAGUGCCCAGGGGUCUCUUGUCCUUGGUCCUGGUUCUCCCUGGGCUGCCUUGGAGUUUCUAGCAUCAUCUGAACAAGUGGAGUAGAAGUGGCUCUAAUUGGCAGGCCAAAUGAUCUCUGUUCUAUCAGAAUCUAACCCAACUAGCCCCAGAGUCCACUGGAAGGAGUGGGAAGGGGAUGCCAGAAAGCCUGGGCAUGCAGGGGAAGUUGUGCCUGCUGAAGUCUGCCUGCUGGGGCUGUAUAGUGGACCCAGUGGGAGAUGACUGAAUUAUCGGGAUGGGUCUUUCCCGUACUGUUCUGGCAGUAGUGAACAAGUCUCCAGAGAUCUGAUGGUUUGAUAAGGGGAAACUCGUUUCACUUGGUACUCAUUCUCUCUUUGCCUGCUGCCAUCCAUGCAAGACGUGACUUGCUCCUCCUUGCGUUCCACCAUGAUUGUGAGGCUUCCCCAGCCACGUGGAACUGUAAG